Molecule: long non-coding RNA, 5026 nt
Organism: Homo sapiens (human)
Lineage: Eukaryota; Metazoa; Chordata; Mammalia; Primates; Hominidae
Exons: 2
Source: RefSeq, a predicted model, not a curated record
UCUACGACAGCAAAGACAGACACAGAAUAUGAGAGAGCGGCUGCUGAUGUUAAACUUGAGCAGACGCACGUGCAUCUGCCUCAGAGACUACAAUACCUAAACACUAACAAUCCUCCUCCAAGCCCAGUCAAGGCCAUGGGCUUGUGUGUUACACAUGAAAAUAGAAGCAAACCCUCUGUUAAAGGUAACAACAGUUGUCUAGUUUUAUUGGGGCUCUGGCAGUUUGGGGAAUCUAAAUUGAAGCACGCUUUGCUUCAGUUUCCCAUCCAUCUACAAAUGGUCCCCGGCAUUACUCCUCUGGGGGAGACGUGCAGUGCAUGCAUUACUGUCAUCCAACAGCCAGGCAGCCACGAGCCUUGGGUGGGGGGCACUGUCAGAGUAAAUGCUCUGCAGGAGCAACGAGGGGAUGAAGGAAAGAACUUCUAGAAUGGAAACACAGCAGAGAAGGGAAGGGAAGGGGAGGGGAGGGAAAGAAGAGAGAGAGAGAAAACAAAGAAAGAGAAAGAGAGAGAGAAAGAAAGAGAGAGGAUCGGCAGUGGUGUCUCACGCCUAUAAUCCCAGCACUUUGGGAGGCCGAGGUGGGCAGAUCACGUGAGGUCAGGAGUUAAGAGACCAGCCUGGCCAACACGGUGAAACCUUGUCUUUACAACAAUACAAAAAUUAGCCAGGCAUGAUGGCAGGUAAUCCCAGCUACUCGGGAGGCUGAGGAGGGAGAAUCGCUUGAACCUGGGAGGUGGAGGUUGCAGUGAGCUGAGAUCGCGCCAUUGCACUCCAGCCUGGGUGACAAGAGCAAGACUCUGUCAGGAAAGGGAAAGGGAAAGGGAAAGGAAGGGAAGGGAAGGGAAAGGGAAGGGAAGGGAAGGGAAAGGAGGGAGAGAGAGAGAAGGAGAGAGAAAGAGAAAGGGAGAGAGACAGAGAGAAAGAAAAGAAAAGAAAAAAGGAGGGAGGGAGCGAGGGAGGAAGGAAGGAAGGAAGGUAGGGGGGAGAGACAGAGAGGGAGAGGGAGGAAGGAGGAAGGAGAGGGACAGGGGGAGGAGGGAGGGAGAGAGGGAGGAAAGGAGGAAGGAAGGACAGAUGGAAGGAAGGAAGGAAGGAAGGGAAAUCUGAACUCAGUGCUGAACUGGGAUGAAAAUGAUCAAGAAAAGAAAUCUCUAACCAUGCCCCUUCCUCCCGGCCACACCCUGCCCUUCUCCUGACCCUCCUGAUCCUCCUGAUCCUCUAGAGACAAACUCUCCCACCAGAAGGACAAGCAAUUUCCUCUGUACUUCAGAUCCUGGGCAACCAUAGCCUGUCGUUCCCAGCCCAAGUGUUGGAAACUGGACUCCUUUUUAGGUAAAACAUUACGUUUGAAUUCUAAGGUUCCUUUCUCAAAGCCAAUAUUCCCGCCAGCUCUUGGAGAUUCCCCAGUUCUUUUUUUUUUUUUUUUAAUUCCUCAAAUAACGUAAUAAUACAUGGAACAUGAGACUACUUGAAAUGAGAAGACAGCGCAGAGGACUGAAUAUGGAAAUCAAUGACUUUUUUCAAUAUGUAAAAUUACUGAGACAUUGUAGAACUUUGAUACCAUGCAAAGAAUAUUCUUCGCUGUAAUUCAGAAAGUGGUUAGAAGUUUCAAGAGCCCUUCGGUUUUGCUGUAUGUCAACACAGGGUGGACACCAUUGAAAGGUACAAUCGACCCUUAGAAGUUUAUAAACAGCAACUUUGGACUUCUGUUCCACUUGGAAUCUGAAAUCUGUGGUGUGGAGCAAUAAUUUUAACUUGGGAAGCUUACUCAUCGUACACAGCACAGAACAGGGUUUGUUUCAUACAAACACUGUCAAGAACCCUAAGGAAACGAAGUUCUGAAGUCCAGCUGGAGGCAGGUGAAAGUCUUUUUGUCUCUGCUUGGAAGUCUCACAGCACAAUCCAAGAUGGCCACAGUUUUUGUAAGCUGUUUAUCUUACAUUUGUUUAACAUCAAAAUCAUAAAGGUCCUAUCUUAAUGACACAUACAAAUUUAACAAAAUACUUUUCCGGUUCUCAUUAUUAUAUCUUUGGAUGACUUCUUUUCCUUGGGUGUCUUUUAAGUCCCCAACAUUAAAAGGAGCAAAUUUCUAGCAAAAUGAAAUUCAUGUGUAUCUGAACUCCAACAACACCAUCUAUUAGAAGACCUUACAAUUUAAAUAGGAAUUGAGAUCACAGCAUAUUUCAACUAAUAAUGCUUAACUGUGCAUCAGUUUAGCUUAAAAUGGCAAAGUAGAGCCCAGUCUUAUAAAAAUAGAACUACAAUGACUAUAAUGAAUUUGUCAUGGUACUUUUUCUUUCUUGAUUUAAUUUUUUGUUCCUUGAUUUCUUUCCUGGUUUCUGAGUUAAAUCUUCUAACAGUAAUAUAUCAAACUCAAACUAUUUUGCAACAGACAUGAAUCAGCAUCUUUGUUCCACAUGACCCAAUGACCAAAAUGACCAACUCCAUGAAGAAGACUUCAGAGUGAUUUAUUCCCUACCUAAUUAGCUCAUGGGUUGACCAGCACACCUCUACAUGAAAUGUCCCUUUGCGAAACAUUGAUAUCCCAAUGUUCACUAUUUAAAUGCUUUCUUUCUUCUUCUUCUUCUUUUUUUUUUUUUUUUUUCAUUUUGAGGCAGAGUCUCACUCUGUCGCCCAGGCUGGAAUGCAAUGGCAUGAUCAUGGCUCACUGUGACCUCCGCCUCCUGGGUUCAAGUGAUUCUCCUGCCUCAGUUUCCUGAGUAGCUGGGAUUACAGGCUUGUGCCACCACGCCUGGCUAAUUUUUGUAUUUUUAGUAGAGACAGGGUUUCACCAUGUCGGCCAGCCUGGUCUUGAACUCCUGACAUCAAGUGAUCUGCCCGCCUUGGCCUCCCAAAAUGUGGUGAUUACAGGCAUGAACAACCACAUACGGCUCUAUUUAAAUGCUUUCUGAAAGUAGAUUCAAAUAAACACAAUUUCCAAAUCCACAGGGACAAAGCAGUAAGGGAAACUCAGCUAUGAUCAUUUCUCAUGCCUGUCCAUUCACCUUCCAUAGUAGCACUACCUGGGAAGAAUGAGUGUGCAUCAGGCAAGGUGAGAUGAAUAUCUACCCGACAUUAACUUCCCACGAUUCCACUCCUAUAUAAGAGGCAGGUAUAUUCUCUUUUUCUUCCACACAUGCUUUCUGUGGCAUACUAACCAGCAACUAUACUCUUUACCCAUUGUUUUCCAAAUUUAAUAGUACCUUGGAAAAAAUGUCCAAGUUUUAUAACACUAAGAAGUUUAUAAGAAUCCAAAUAUCAUUUUUAUUUUGGUUCUUGUAUGUAGACCAGAAUAUUCUGCAAUGCAGUCCACUGUAAUUUACAGUGCUAUCUAGAGUUGGCAUAAGCUUAAAGGGAAAGAGCCCCAGAUUUUAAAAAUGCAGCAGAAAAAAGCCCAUCUUAAGACAAUACUGACUUCCUCCAAAUUAAGAAAAGAAAUUCCCUACUGUGAUGGUUACUACUGAGUGUCAACUUGAUUGGAUUGAAGGAUACAAAGUAUUGGUCCUGGGUGUGUCUGUGAGGGUGUUGCCAAAGGAGAUUAACGUUUGAGUCAGUGGGCUGGGAAAUGCAGACCCACCCUUAAUCUGGGUGGGCACAAUCUAAUCAGCUGCCAGUGCAGCUAGGAUACAAGCAGGCAGAAAAAUGUGAAAAGAGAGACUGGCCUAGCCUCCCAGCCUCCAUCUUUCUCCCAUACUGGAUGCUUCCUGCCCUCGAACAUCAGGCUCCAAGUUCUUCAGUUUUGGAACUCAGACUGGCUCUCCUUGCUCCUCAGACUGCAGAUGGCCUAUUGUGGGACCUUAUGAUCAUGUGAAUUAAUACUUAAUAAACUCCCCUCUAUCUAUCUAUCUAUCUAUCUAUCUAUCUAUCUAUCUAUCUAUCCAUCCAUCCAUCCCAUUAGUUCUGUCCCUCUAGAGAACCCUGACCAAUACACCUACCAUAUAAUGCCAAGAGUUCGCCACUGCCUGGCUUGGCUCUAGUUUCUCAUAAGUGACCAGAGAGAGGGGAAAGGCUCACAGUCACUAGAGGUGGAAGGGAUGGGCAGAGACCAAUGGUGAUGCUGAAAGCAACAGGAGAUGUCCACGCUGCAGGUCAGGGAUGCCACGUUUAUCUGAUGAAGCGACAUUUAGAAACGGGAAGAGUGUUUUGCAAGCUUAUGGUGGUAUCCUCUAUGAGUUACCUUGGAAAGCUGUAUCUAGUGGGUAGCAUAUUUAUUACCCGAGAACCAAGUUGAAAAGCUAGGGAAGAAGAUUCCAUUUUCUUCUCACCCUGCAGUCAGUCAGGGAAAAAUUGGGGCAAGUAAUUUUCCUUCUCAGUGAUUCCUGGUUCUUUUGUGUAAAACAGGUGACAACAUCAAAACUACCUGCAAGUCUCACUUCAUGGAACACAACAGAAACUCUGCAUAAGAAAAAAGGAAAUCCACAAAGCUUGUAGAAUGCCAGGGUCUCUCACUGUUGUCCAGGAUGAAGUGCAGUGGUGUGAUCAUAACUCACUGCAGCCUUGAACUCCUGGGCUCAAUGGAUCCUCCCACCUCGGCCUCCCAAAGUGCUGGGACUACAGGCGUGAGCCACCGUGCCUGGCUGGUUCUACCCUUUUCACUGUGAGUUUCUUGCAUCAAGAGGGCUUUGUGUUUCCCAGAGGCCCAGCAUACAGGGUGCCUGGGGGUUGGCUCCACAGACAGGGAUGGCUGCCAUCUGUGCCACCAGACACCCACGCAGUACAAUCAACCCUCUUCUUGGCCACCAUCUGCCAACACGGGGCCCAGCUGGACAACUUCUGGUUUGGUUUAAACUAGGAGAAUGUCAGGAACUAUUUCCCACCCUUGGCAUUAGAAUGAAGAACGACCGCUGCAAACUGGUUUAAUUCAAAGUCAACGAGAGACUUACCCAUGGCUGCUCCCGCUGAAAUCUGCUGCCAGAUGGUGUUGUGCUAUUCAGGUAAUUAGACAGACACCCAGAAAAAUUACAAUGUGAAUAUCUUCUGAACGAAAAGUAAUCAAAUAUUAAAGUGUAAUUUCAAAAAAACCUAA